GUGGGGAAUCUUCGCAAUGGGCGAAAGCCUGACGCAGCCAUGCCGCGUGAAUGAUGAAGGUCUUAGGAUUGUAAAAUUCUUUCACCGGGGACGAUAAUGACGGUACCCGGAGAAGAAGCCCCGGCUAACUUCGUGCCAGCAGCCGCGGUAAUACGAAGGGGGCUAGCGUUGUUCGGAAUCACUGGGCGUAAAGCGCACGUAGGCGGACCAUUAAGUCAGGGGUGAAAGCCUGGAGCUCAACUCCAGAACUGCCUUUGAUACUGAUGGUCUCGAGUAUGGAAGAGGUUGGUGGAACUGCGAGUGUAGAGGUGAAAUUCGUAGAUAUUCGCAAGAACACCGGUGGCGAAGGCGGCCAACUGGUCCAUUACUGACGCUGAGGUGCGAAAGCGUGGGGAGCAAACAGGAUUAGAAACCCGUGUAGUCC
Molecule: ribosomal RNA, 424 nt
Filed under: uncultured bacterium
Lineage: Bacteria
Description: partial 16S ribosomal RNA
Rfam family: Bacterial small subunit ribosomal RNA
Source: RNAcentral